AACGAACGCUGGCGGCAUGCCUAACACAUGCAAGUCGAACGAAGCCUUCGGGCUUGGUGGCGCACGGGUGCGUGACCCGGGGGAAUAUGCCCCUUUCUUCGGCAUAUCAGUUAGAAAUGACUGCUAAUACCGGAUGAAGUCUUCGGACCAAAGAUUUAUCGGCAAGGGAUGAGCUCGCGUAGGAUUGGGUAGUUGGUGGGGUAAAGGACUACUAAGCCUACGAGCCUUAGCUGGUCUGAGAGGAUGAUCAGCGACACUGGGACUGAGACACGGCGCAGACUGCUACGAGAGGCAGGAGAGGGGAAUAUAGGAGAACGGACGCAAGUCUGAUCCAGCAAGGACGCGUGAGCGAUGAAGGCCUUAGGGUUGUAAAGCUCUUUUAACAGAGAUGAUAAUGACGGUACCUGGAGAAUAAGCACCGGCUAACUCCGUG
RNAcentral lists this ribosomal RNA (433 nucleotides) under uncultured bacterium. Its description in RNAcentral is "partial 16S ribosomal RNA". It matches the Rfam family "Bacterial small subunit ribosomal RNA", at positions 29 to 507 of the family's 1533-position model. The record is from RNAcentral.